AGAGUUUGAUCCUGGCUCAGGAUGAACGCUGGCGGCGUGCCUAACACAUGCAAGUCGAGCGGAGUUAUUUUCAGGAAGCUUUCGGGUGGAAUGAACUUAACUUAGCGGCGGACGGGUGAGUAACGCGUGGACAACCUACCCUGUACAGGGGGAUAACAAUGGGAAACCAUUGCUAAUACCCCAUAACACCUUUUAGGGGCAUCCCUUUAAGGUCAAAGAAUUUCGGUACAGGAUGGGUCCGCGUCUGAUUAGCUAGUUGGUGAGGUAAUGGCUCACCAAGGCGACGAUCAGUAGCCGGCCUGAGAGGGUGAACGGCCACACUGGAACUGAGACACGGUCCAGACUCCUACGGGAGGCAGCAGUGGGGAAUAUUGCACAAUGGGCGAAAGCCUGAUGCAGCAACGCCGCGUGAGCGAUGAAGGCUUUCGGGUCGUAAAGCUCUGUCCUAAGGGAAGAUAAUGACGGUACCUUAGGAGGAAGCCCCGGCUAACUACGUGCCAGCCGCCGCGGUAAUUC
This 516-nucleotide ribosomal RNA is filed under the name uncultured Clostridiaceae bacterium. RNAcentral describes it as "bacterial SSU rRNA". It matches the Rfam family "Bacterial small subunit ribosomal RNA", at positions 8 to 526 of the family's 1533-position model. The record is from RNAcentral. Lineage: Bacteria; Bacillati; Bacillota; Clostridia; Eubacteriales; Clostridiaceae.